GACCACCACUCGCCGACGCCGCUCCUCCCUCUUCUGCUUCUCCCAGCGCCGCCCGCCCCCGCCGUUCCCUCACACGCCGCCCGCCGCGCAAGAGCCGCGACCUCGUCACGUCUGCCCGCUGGUGCCGUGGCCCCGUCGACGUCCGCCCGCACAGGACUCUCCGAGUGUGGGAUUGAGCCGUACUUUUUUUUUUUGGUGGCUCGGGCCGAGAUCCGGUACUGUAUGAGGGUUGCCAACUAGACUUUAAGAUCGCUGAUUCAAUGGAGGCCUCCGAGGCAGCACCUGCAGCGGCGGACACCGUCAUGGAAGCAGAGGAUGUGAGCGGCGGGAAGGGCGAAUGGUACGUGCUUGGGGAGCGGGCGCUGAUGGUGCCGUACACGCGGGAGCACGUGCCGCGGUACCACGACUGGAUGCAGGACCCGGCGCUGCUGGAGGCCACCGCGUCGGAGCCCCUCUCCCUCUCGCAGGAGUUCGAGGUCCACCGCUCAUGGACCCUCGACCCUCUAAAGCACACUUUCAUAGUGUUGGAUAAGGAGCUCAUAGAGGGAGAGUUCGUGCCGGGCAACCCGCACAUUGAAGAUUGAAUCAGUUCUUGGCAACUCGUGUCCUUCCGGUCUCAAUGACUUCCGGUCUCAGGAACGGAUUGAAGCGAGCUGCACCAGGAAAGUAGUGAAACUAUGGUUGGUGAUGUGAACAUAUAUAUGAAUGACUCUGAUGAUGUGCAGAUCGCGGAGAUAGAGAUUAUGAUAGCUGAACAUAAGAGCCGUGGGAAGGGUAUUGGUCAAGAAGCAAUCUUACUGAUGAUGGCAAUUGCAGUAGAGAAAUAUGGAAUUCACACGUUCAGGGCAAAAAUUAGCGAAUCAAAUAUGGCAUCGCUUAAGCUCUUCAGGAAGUUGGGCUUCAAGGAUGCUUCAUACAGUGUGGUGUUCAAGGAGGUGACUCUGGAGGCACCCGCUGACUCACUCCCGUUGAGAUUUCCUCUGACCAUUGGAGACUGGUGACGUCUGACAUGCCCCAAGCUAAUUCCAUGCAGACGACACAAGAAGCUAAUGCUGUUUGUCUGUACUAUCUGACCAAAAUUUACUCGGGCUGAUAUUGUAUGAAAAAUUGAAUAAAACAGUUGCACAGUUGUGAUUCAAUUGCAUUAGACCAGUCGGGUUUUUCAUGUCACUAUUUUGAAGACCCCAUAUCUUAUAAACAAAUGUAGACAAGUUUUAUCUCAUAAAUUUUUUUU
Zea mays is the source of this 1234-nucleotide RNA transcript. RefSeq lists it as uncharacterized. The record is from RefSeq and is marked validated. The transcript is spliced from 7 exons. Lineage: Eukaryota; Viridiplantae; Streptophyta; Magnoliopsida; Poales; Poaceae.